Molecule: ribosomal RNA, 494 nt
Filed under: uncultured bacterium
Lineage: Bacteria
Description: partial 16S ribosomal RNA
Rfam family: Bacterial small subunit ribosomal RNA
Source: RNAcentral
GACGAACGCUGGCGGCGCGCUUAACACAUGCAAGUCGAACGGAAAGGCCUGCUUUCCCUUGUGGAUUGCGGGUACUCGAGUGGCGAACGGGUGAGUAACACGUGAGUGAUCUGCCCCCAACUUGGGUAUAAGCCUGGGAAACUGGGUCUAAUUCCCGAUAGGACUGCAGGGUGGUGCCUGUGGUGGAAAACGAUUUUCUAGUGGUUGGGGAUGAGCUCGCGGCCUAUCAGCUUGUUGGUGGGGUAAUGGCCUACCAAGGCGGCGACGGGUAGCCGGCCUGAGAGGGUGGACGGCCACAUUGGGACUGAGAUACGGCCCAGACUCCUACGGGAGGCAGCAGUGGGGAAUAUUGCACAAUGGGCGGAAGCCUGAUGCUGCGACGCCGCGUGGGGGAUGACGGCCUUCGGGUUGUAAACUCCUUUCGACCGCGAGGAAGCCACCUGGUUGGAAGGGUGGUGACGGUAGUGGUAGAAGAAGCACCGGCUAACUACGUG